This is a long non-coding RNA of Ostrinia nubilalis (European corn borer), 1105 nucleotides long. RefSeq lists it as uncharacterized. Lineage: Eukaryota; Metazoa; Arthropoda; Insecta; Lepidoptera; Crambidae. The transcript has 2 exons. The record is from RefSeq and is a predicted model, not a curated record.
UAAAGUAAAUAUAUUAUGUAAUUUUAACAGAGGGACUUAUAUUAGGCUGUCUUUACAUAACUAAAUUAUUAUUUUAUAGCUCUAAUGUAAACUUUCAUCAAUCAUUCCUCCCUCCAAUCCAAUGACAUAUAAAAACAUCUUAAAGAUGACCUAAACUCUAUGCCUAAACUGAACUGUCCCACCAAACUCAUUGAUAAGGGGGCGCUACCGUCGUUCAACUAUACAGGGUGUUAGGUAAAUGGGUAUAUGAGCCGACACUAGCCCAUGUUAACAUGGUCAUAUAAAUGGUAUGGUGAAGUCAGAAAAUUGAUAUCUUCAUUUUAAUUAUUUUAAUUUUCAUACAAAUCGGAUUUUAUAAAAUUUAUUUUGUAUGAAAAUUAAAAACAAUAAAAUGAUGAUAUCAAAUUUCUGACUUCACCAUACCAUUUAUAUGACCAUGUUAACAUGGGCUAGUGUCGGCUCAUAUACCCAUUUACCUAACACCCUGUAUAGUUUCCAACAUGGCAAAAAUCGGAACCAGCGAUCCGGUAUUGACGGUGGCGCCCCGCUGCCAAUGUCAAGGUUUUAUUUCUAUCAUAUUUUUUUUACCACCAAAACUGUCAGAUGCUAUUUUUCAAAUAGCCCUAUCCUACUAUUUGAUACAAAAUCUAACGAAAUGAAUACUUUACAUUUCUUGUGGGCUGCCCACAGGGAAGAAUUGCGGAGAAGGCGGAAAAUGCGAGAAUUAGCCAGAAUAUAUGAAGAAAAUUUUGAAGACAUGCCAGAGCUUCUGUUCAGGCAACGUUACAGGCUUAACAAAGGCCAAUUUCAGGAGCUUUGUCAUAUAUUGAAACAGGAAACCUCUUUGCGGGGAAAUACAAUAAUUUCUCUGGAAUCCAAGAUGAGCUGCCUGCAGGAUCUGUUGCAACAGCCACUUUUCUGGAGCAUUUUAACAAUUUAUUUGAUUUACUUAAUGCGCAUGCAUUCACCAGACUGGCAAGAAGGGAAGCAAUCAGUGUGUAUAAUAUUAAUUAAAAGAUUUUGUUUAAUAGAGAACAGAAGGUUCUCCACUGAAUCUGCCUAGUAAAGGCUGCCAAAAAAAAAUAAAAAUAUUAAAAAAUUCAUA